CCAACAUGUUUUGACACACGAAGGGCGCUUACUUCUUGUUUCUUGCUCACACAAGAAGACGGGGAAUCUAGCUCAUUAACUAUUGAUGCACUGCCUUUUUAACCUUUUAGGGUUUGAAAGAUAUAACCGCUUUUAUUGUUUUCUAUUCAAUUUUUGUAAACCUUUUCGCUUUUUUUAUAUAAAUAAAAAUUCUCCUUUUUGGGGAACAAAAGACCAUCUGUUUCCGGGGGAAUUCUUUCCACUGAGGGGCCUCCUCCAUUUAGCAGAAUGACAAGAACACCGCUUCGAAACCUGCAGACACCGACUGGUCCGGCACCCCAUAAAAACCCAGAGGGACCAAGUCCACAACGCGCAUGUAGACUGGUUGGGUGAACUCCCAGGACCCUCCAGUAGUCUUGCGAGAGUAAAGAGGUGGUCCACUGUUCCACGACCGGGACAGAAUCCGCACUGCUCCUCUUGAUUCCAGCCGCCUUGGCACCAGGAAGCUUUUUGACCACCUUAGCAACUCCUGCCAGGGGUACGGACACUCACUAGGUCUUUUCACAGCUUACAGCUCUGCUCCUCUCUUCCCCAGAGUGUCCAAGACAUGCGGCUGCAGAUCAGACGUACAAUUACAAGAGCGAUCAUUGAUCUCUGGUCUAAGAUGCUCCGGUACCAGGUACACUUAUGAGUAGGGUUGGGUACCGAAAACCGAUAUUUAACGUACUGAAAUACAACGCAGAUUUCUGUGCCAGAGCCAAUUGAAAAACUU
This is a long non-coding RNA of Gasterosteus aculeatus aculeatus (three-spined stickleback), 751 nucleotides long. The record is from Ensembl. NCBI's taxonomy places the organism in Eukaryota, Metazoa, Chordata, Actinopteri, Perciformes, Gasterosteidae.